RNAcentral lists this ribosomal RNA (255 nucleotides) under uncultured bacterium. Its description in RNAcentral is "partial 16S ribosomal RNA". It matches the Rfam family "Bacterial small subunit ribosomal RNA", at positions 524 to 777 of the family's 1533-position model. The record is from RNAcentral.
UACGGGGGGGGGCAAGCGUUGUUCGGAAUUACUGGGCGUAAAGGGCUCGUAGGCGGCCAACUAAGUCAGACGUGAAAUCCCUCGGCUUAACCGGGGAACUGCGUCUGAUACUGGAUGGCUUGAGUUCGGGAGAGGGAUGUGGAAUUCCAGGUGUAGCGGUGAAAUGCGUAGAUAUCUGGAGGAACACCGGUGGCGAAGGCGGCAUCCUGGACCGACACUGACGCUGAUGAGCGAAAGCCAGGGGAGCAAACGGGG